This 114-nucleotide small nucleolar RNA is filed under the name Mola mola (ocean sunfish). RNAcentral's name for it is "Small nucleolar RNA SNORD67 (ENSMMOG00000006975.1)". It matches the Rfam family "Small nucleolar RNA SNORD67". From Rfam's summary of the family: snoRNA HBII-166 belongs to the C/D family of snoRNAs. Lineage: Eukaryota; Metazoa; Chordata; Actinopteri; Tetraodontiformes; Molidae. The record is from Rfam by way of RNAcentral.
GUUGAGAGUGAUGAGUUGCACUAAUUAGUUGGGGUGGCUGAUGCAGUGGCACCAACACCCCAAUCCGAGCCCACCUGCGGACACACGCUGUGCACAGGGGCCAUCUGACUCAAC